GCCCCCAUCGUCCAGCGGCCUAGGACGCCGGCCUUUCACGCCGGUAACACGGGUUCGAAUCCCGUUGGGGGUGCCA
This 76-nucleotide transfer RNA is filed under the name Actinomycetes bacterium. RNAcentral describes it as "tRNA-Glu". It matches the Rfam family "tRNA". Rfam says of the family: Transfer RNA (tRNA) molecules are approximately 80 nucleotides in length. Their secondary structure includes four short double-helical elements and three loops (D, anti-codon, and T loops). The record is from RNAcentral. Lineage: Bacteria; Bacillati; Actinomycetota; Actinomycetes. RNAcentral also lists the same sequence under 3 other names.